CUGCGUGUAGCUCAGUGGCGAGAGCACCGGACGUGGAGUCCGGAGGACGGGGGUUCGAGUCCCCUCACGCGGCCCC
This 76-nucleotide transfer RNA is filed under the name Stenotrophomonas sp. SAU14A_NAIMI4_8. RNAcentral's name for it is "tRNA-Pro". It matches the Rfam family "tRNA". From Rfam's summary of the family: Transfer RNA (tRNA) molecules are approximately 80 nucleotides in length. Lineage: Bacteria; Pseudomonadati; Pseudomonadota; Gammaproteobacteria; Lysobacterales; Lysobacteraceae. The record is from RNAcentral.